This 512-nucleotide ribosomal RNA is filed under the name uncultured bacterium. Its description in RNAcentral is "partial 16S ribosomal RNA". It matches the Rfam family "Bacterial small subunit ribosomal RNA", at positions 28 to 507 of the family's 1533-position model. The record is from RNAcentral.
GAUGAACGCUGGCGGCGUGCCUAAUACAUGCAAGUCGAACGAAACUUCUUUAUCACCGAGUGCUUGCGCUCACCGAUAAAGAGUUGAGUGGCGAACGGGUGAGUAACACGUGGGCAACCUGCCCAAAAGAGGGGGAUAACACUUGGAAACAGGUGCUAAUACCGCAUAACCAUAGUUACCGCAUGGUAACUAUGUAAAAGGUGGCUAUACUACCGCUUUUGGAUGGGCCCGCGGCGCAUUAGCUAGUUGGCAGGGUAAAGGCUUACCAAGGCAAUGAUGCGUAGCCGAAUUGAGAGGUUGAUCGGCCACAUUGGGACUGAGACACGGCCCAAACUCCUACGGGAGGCAGCAGUAGGGAAUCUUCCACAAUGGGCGAAAGCCUGAUGGAGCAACGCCGCGUGGGUGAAGAAGGUCUUCGGAUCGUAAAACCCUGUUGUUAGAGAAGAAAGUGCGUGAGAGUAACUGUUCACGUUUCGACGGUAUCUAACCAGAAAGCCACGGCUAACUACGUG